Lepidothrix coronata (blue-crowned manakin) is the source of this 2570-nucleotide long non-coding RNA. NCBI's taxonomy places the organism in Eukaryota, Metazoa, Chordata, Aves, Passeriformes, Pipridae. The record is from Ensembl.
GGGAGAUACCUGCUGUGUGCUGCUCGUGUCUGCAGGGGAAGGUUUGCAAGGACUCUGGGGCUUUAUGGCUAAAGGAAAAAAGGGUUGUGUGUGUGUGAUCAGCCUCUGGUCUCUUCUUUGGCUGUUAGGAAAGUUUAAAUUCUGUUAUGAAAGUUUAAAUCCUGUUAUGAACGUUUAAAUUCUUGUUCUUCCCCUGUGGGUCUCGUUCCUCCCUCACCUAAAUGUCAGGUCAGGCUGCCCUGAGCCAGCUGGGGUUUGUUGCUGUGCUGUCCCCUCCUCAACGUGUGGUGGCUUUUCUCUGUGGCUCCUGAGUGGAGAACACACUUUGCCAAUGCUUGUAGGCCUGGGGAAGAAAGGAUCCAGCAGCUGGAUUCCUCCUCUGGAGCCUCACCCUGCCUGGAGGGUCACAGGGAGACUGUCCAUCUCCUGGGGUCACUGCAGGAGUGGAUGGCUUUAGUGGAAUGUCUCCAUCUGGGAUCCAGGCUGAUCCCUGAGUGUGUUUGUAUCAGCACAAACUGGCAAAACCUUCUGACCCUUAUUGGGUAGAAUUAGAAUUGUAGAGCAGCCUCUCCCGUUUACAGCCACUUUUUCCAUCUUUGGAUGGCAAACACACACGAACACACUCUCCUCUUUUGUUAAAAAUCAAUUGAUUCCAAUUGGUGCAGGUUUUUUUUUUUUUUCUGGAACAGGUUAUUGGUUGCUGUCUGGCCUAAGCUCUUAUAAAGUAACCCAAUACUCUGCCCUUCCAGAGCAACCAGCAAAUGCCCAGUUCUGGGAGGCAGCAGUGACUCCUCGGGGAGCUGCUUCCUGUCAGGAUGUAUUUUCUUGGGAUGACUCAGGAGCUGCUUCACGAGAUGCAAGAAAAACUGCCCAUCUUUGUCCUGAUUGCAGCUGGACUGUUGGAUUUGUCUGGAGCCUCCAGGAGUGAACGUGAUGCCAGUGACAUGUUGGCCCUGGGCUUCCCUGGAUGGGCCCAGCCCAGAGCUGAGAGCAGCCCAGUGCCCAGCGAGGGCUUCCCUGGGACAGAGGACGACUUGGAUGGGGUGACCUUCCACUUCCAGAGCCCAGCAGCUGAUCCCACCAAGGCAACCACGGCUGACUCCAGCCCUGCUGCCACAGGGAGAGCUGCAAACGGGACAGCUCUGCUGCCUGGGGGCUUGGCUGGGACCCUGGAGGUGUCUGAGCCUCUGCACACAGAAACAGCAGCUUCAAAACCCCAGGGUGGACACGCCUGGCCUGGCCAGCUCUUGGGGAGCUUCAGCAUCCCUGUCUCCACACAAGGAUCCCAGGCUGCCACAGCUCUGGAGCAGCCAGGCAGCUCCCUGCAGAGACCAGGAGAUAUCCCUGGGGCUGGUCCCAGCCCUGCCAGCCCUGCUGCUGGGCUGCCCCAGCCCCCUCCCAGUGCGGGGCCACACCAGGACUCUCCCCAGUUCACAGCUGUCCCCUCCCUUUCUGUUCUUAUGGAGGUGACAAAGCCUAAAACAUCUCCCCUGACUUCAACAGUCCAUUUUCAUCCUCCAGGAAAAGGAACAGCAGCAUCUCCAUCUCCAAGCAGAGCUGGGGUUGCUCCUGGAGGUGCAGGGCUGGGCUGGUCCCCCCCAGGGAUGCACACAAACCCCCAGGCCCAGCCUGGCAGCACAGCAGCUCUGACUCCUGCACGCCUGGACAGGACCCAGGGUAUGGAUGCUGGAAUUACAGCUUCUGCAGUCCCACCACAGCCAGCUCCAGGGGGCCUGGAUGCAGCCUAUUCCAGCACAACACAUGCCAGGGCCACUCAGCUUUCCCCUGCUUUGCCUCUGAAGGAAGAGACCACAGGCAGCAAAGGCAGGAAUUCCACAGCAGCUGUAACAAAUGGUUCUGGACACCCAACCCAGCUGCCUGCUCUGCAGACACUGCCACCUCUUCAUUCCUCUUCGUUCCUGAUGGGAUCCCCAGUUCCUGGUGGGUUAAGUCCAUCUCCAAUUCAAGGGCCUGUUGGCACAACUGGAGGACAACAGCCCCUGUCUUUGGACAGGGCUCUCAACUGCACCAAACCUGCUGCCCAGGAAAGCAACAGGAGCUCUCAAGGAAUCACAGUUGUAGCUCUACAAGGAGAUGCUGAUCAUGGGAUGGUGACAAGUAAACCUGGAAAAUCUCUAUCCCCUGAGAGCCCACAGGCUUCUACUACUUCAUCCUCAUUAAGCCCAUCAGGGAUUUCCACAUUAAAGCUUUCCCAGACUACUAAAGAGCAAAAAGAAGUAACAUCUGCACCCUCUCCUGGAAUGUCUGGCUUUGGGAAUGCAGACCUUCAGCCCUGGGAUUCUGUUCAGGAGGGGCUUCAGCCACCAGGUGCCUCUUUCCCUGCUCGUGCUGGAUUGCAGCCCAUGGGCAUCCCCCGCUCUGCUGAGAGACUUCACACAACAACAACUUCACCCCCAGCCCCUGGCCCUGGGUCUCAGGCUCAGGGGGCUCCUGCCCACCCUGUACCUCAGGAGGCCUUUGCUGUGACACUGCAGCCUGGCCGUGGUGAGGGACGACGCCUGCGGCUCCGGCAACUACACGGUGCAGCUGAGCCUGAGCCCCGCUGCUGA